AAAGUUACAGAGCUAAAAGUAAGAUCGAUAACAGAGAGAAAAAAAGGAACAAGAGAAAAUAAACAUAUCUGAAGUCUUAAAGACAGUGAGAUGGCAGAUGUGGAAGAGCCUAUAAUAUUAUUCCAAGAAAAAUCAAGUCUACUUUAGACAAUGAUGAUUUAACUCUCAGGACUCUGUGCACUUCUUUUGGUCUCUAUCAACUACAAGUAAUUAACAAGGAUUCUAAUUUUUUAAGAGGCGAUUUUAUUCUAUUCUACCUUGAGGCAUGAUAUUCCUACGUAGUGUUUUGUCAAAUAGCAUCAAACUUGCCUCAGUCAAUAUUAAAAAAAAACCCCUAAGUUCCUAUGUCUGUAAAAUAUAGGAGUAACUGAAGUCUGGUAGAUAUAUAAAAUACCUAAUUGAUUUGAAAGGAAACUAUAAAAUUUAAUCAGAGUAACAUGUAACAUUAAUUGUCGCUUUUUGCACCAGGGUAUUCUAAUUUGAACCUCUAA
Molecule: long non-coding RNA, 491 nt
Filed under: Bos taurus (domestic cattle)
Lineage: Eukaryota; Metazoa; Chordata; Mammalia; Artiodactyla; Bovidae
Description: long non-coding RNA NONBTAT004723
Source: RNAcentral